This is a long non-coding RNA of Eleginops maclovinus (Patagonian blennie), 556 nucleotides long. RefSeq lists it as uncharacterized. Lineage: Eukaryota; Metazoa; Chordata; Actinopteri; Perciformes; Eleginopidae. The record is from RefSeq and is a predicted model, not a curated record. The transcript has 4 exons.
GAAGAUAAGAAGACGAAGACGACGGUCAAUUUGAAUGGAAAACAAAGUUUAAUGGAGGCAGGAGCGGCUAAUUCAUAUUGAAGCCCAAAGCAACAACUUUCUGCAGUUGACACAGUGCCCUUUCAAGCAGCAACUACAGCAAGCUGUGUCAAAGGGAAAGCCAUCUGUCUAUUCAGGCUCCAACGGGGAAGUUCUCCUGCUUCUCCCUCUGCAGUAUUUGAUUUGAACGGCUAAUGUAAGAUUCCAAAAAGAUGAAAUGGUCUUCUAAAACAUGUCAAUUUGAGGCUGACACACGUACAGAACUGUUGAAACACUACAGGCUAAGACAUGGAAUGGUUAGCCGUGGCCAGACAGUGCCUUGCCUUUAUAAGGAUUGCCCUUGUUCAUUUAAGACGUUCAAUGCACUUAAUAUUAAUUUAUCCAGGCACACUCACAGAAAUAUUUAACCCUAAUUUAUAGGAUUUAUGUAAUUGAAUUACAUGACAAAGUUCCAUUUAAUUUUUUGAACAUAAACCUACCUAAUAAACUUUACAUGAUGCAUAUACAUCAGUGUAAU